UACGUAGGGGGCAAGCGUUGUCCGGAUUUAUUGGGCGUAAAGAGCGUGUAGGCGGCUAGGUAGGUCCGUUGUGAAAACUCGAGGCUCAACCUCGAGACGCCGGUGGAAACCACCUAGCUAGAGUCCGGAAGAGGAGAGUGGAAUUCCUGGUGUAGCGGUGAAAUGCGCAGAUAUCAGGAAGAACACCCGUGGCGAAGGCGGCUCUCUGGGACGUGACUGACGCUGAGACGCGAAAGCGUGGGGAGCGAACAGG
RNAcentral lists this ribosomal RNA (253 nucleotides) under uncultured bacterium. RNAcentral describes it as "partial 16S ribosomal RNA". It matches the Rfam family "Bacterial small subunit ribosomal RNA", at positions 524 to 776 of the family's 1533-position model. The record is from RNAcentral.